RNAcentral lists this non-coding RNA (30 nucleotides) under Rattus norvegicus (Norway rat). Lineage: Eukaryota; Metazoa; Chordata; Mammalia; Rodentia; Muridae. The record is from RNAcentral.
CUGGGAUUCAAAACAGCAUUUUAAAGACCA